GCGUGAGAAUCUGGCUCCCGGUCGGGGACAACAGAGGGAAACUUCUGCUAAUCCCGGAUGAGCCGAAAGGUAAAAGAUUUAUCGCCGGGAGAUGAGCUCGCGUCUGAUUAGCUAGUUGGUGAGGUAAAGGCUCACCAAGGCGACGAUCAGUAGCUGGUCUGAGAGGAUGAUCAGCCACACUGGGACUGAGACACGGCCCAGACUCCUACGGGAGGCAGCAGUGGGGAAUUUUCCGCAAUGGGCGCAAGCCUGACGGAGCAAGACCGCGUGGGGGAGGAAGGCUCUUGGGUUGUAAACCUCUUUUCUCAGGGAAGAACACAAUGACGGUACUUGAGGAAUCAGCCUCGGCUAACUCCGUGCCAGCAGCCGCGGUAAUACGGAGGAUGCAAGCGUUAUCCGGAAUGAUUGGGCGUAAAGCGUCCGUAGGUGGCUGUGUCAAGUCUGCUGUCAAAGAGCAGUAGCUCAACUAUUGUAAAGGCAGUGGAAACUGACACGGCUAGAGUGCGUUCGGGGCAGAGGGAAUUCCUGGUGUAGCGGUGAAAUGCGUAGAUAUCGGGAAGAACACCGGUGGCGAAGGCGCUCUGCUGGGCCGUAACUGACACUGAGGGACGAAAGCUAGGGGAGCGAAUGGGAUUAGAUACCCC
RNAcentral lists this ribosomal RNA (644 nucleotides) under Arthrospira sp. RNAcentral describes it as "bacterial SSU rRNA". It matches the Rfam family "Bacterial small subunit ribosomal RNA", at positions 115 to 788 of the family's 1533-position model. Lineage: Bacteria; Bacillati; Cyanobacteriota; Cyanophyceae; Oscillatoriales; Microcoleaceae. The record is from RNAcentral.